GCUAACCAUUCAUGCUCCUUGGAGUCCUCAUUUUUAAGUUAAAAAUCCAAUUUCAUUCACUGAAGCAGAUCAAAAUUGAUUGGAGCAAAGCUGAUUCCAAGAAUUUCAUGUGUAUAUUUUACACAGAUCAUAAGCUUUCGCAAGAAAUUCGAUCAACUGAUCUGCAUCAGGGUUGUCUUGGAGUUCUAGGCUCUUGUAAAAUCUCCUUUUGGCUUCUAUCUUGUAAAAUUUCUUUUUCAAAUUUCCAAAAACAACUUAAUAUUCCAUUUCCA
Molecule: unclassified non-coding RNA, 272 nt
Filed under: Hevea brasiliensis (rubber tree)
Lineage: Eukaryota; Viridiplantae; Streptophyta; Magnoliopsida; Malpighiales; Euphorbiaceae
Source: RNAcentral